CAGUCGCCGCGGGAAUACGGAGGGUGCAAGCGUUGUCCGGAUUUAUUGGGUUUAAAGGGUGCGCAGGCGGGGGGGUCAGUCCGCGGUGAAAGACGAUCGCUCAACGAUUGCAGUGCCGUGGAUACUGCCCUUCUUGAAUCUGGUUGAGGCCGGUGGAAUUGACCGUGUAGCGGUGAAAUGCAUAGAUAUGGUCAAGAACUCCAAUUGCGAAGGCAGCCGACUGGGCCAGCAUUGACGCUCAGGCACGAGAGUGCGGGGAUCAAACAGGAUUAGAUACCCCAGUAGUCCCUGUCUCUUAUAA
Molecule: ribosomal RNA, 301 nt
Filed under: uncultured bacterium
Lineage: Bacteria
Description: partial 16S ribosomal RNA
Rfam family: Bacterial small subunit ribosomal RNA
Source: RNAcentral